GUAGGUGCCCGGCAGGGGGAAGCUUCUCCUCAGAUUCACCUCGCACUUGGCGGACGGCGGCACCUUGUCGCACAUGAUGCUGUGCACCCACGUGCACGUGGCGUCCGACACGAUGGUACACGCCGACGUGGGGAUGCUGACCGCCCAGCACCUGAGGCCUCCAGCUCCAUGGCGUCGUCGCAGCGGUCAUCCCAUACCAGGUUCCCCGAGGCGUCCUCCUUCUGGCACGGGGCGUACUUGAGCUUGGCCGUGAAGGAGAUGAUGGAGCCGCUCAAAGCGGGACUGUCGCUGGAGGUGAAAGGUCAUCGAGUGAGAGGUCUUCAGCGGGGAAUCGGAUCAUGAGACGUCACAGCCUCUCUUCUUUGUGCUCCGCCUUCUUUCAGCGCAUGCAGGGAUGGGAACAAACAGUCCAAAUAAUUAGUUCCUGGGGGGUGCAUUAGUGCCUGCGCCUUGUCAUGGUAAAGCGUUGUGGAGUGUGUUUGUACCUAAUGAAAGGAAGAUGUUCUGCAGGCUGCAAGCACCUUCACCAGACGCUCAUACGCAAAUAAUAAGGAACUGUGCACUGGCAUUCCCAUGGUAUUGAAGGUUAUUAAGGAAAUGCACAGUAAAUACAAAAUCCAAUGUAUUUCACACGGGAAUAGUCGAACAUUGGUUGAAAAUCUAUGCAAUCAUGUCCUGUUUAUUCAAGCAAGGCAGUCAACAUUAAGCAGCAAGUGGUCAUGCACAUUUUGAAGCUUUUUUUAAAGGAGUCACGCCAGGGCAGUCUUUAGGACCUGGCGUUGAACUGAGGAAAGG
Long non-coding RNA from Nerophis lumbriciformis (worm pipefish), 795 nucleotides. RefSeq lists it as uncharacterized. The record is from RefSeq and is a predicted model, not a curated record. Lineage: Eukaryota; Metazoa; Chordata; Actinopteri; Syngnathiformes; Syngnathidae.